ACGAACGCUGGCGGCGUGCUUCACCCCUGCCAGUCGAACGGAAAGGCCCCCUUGUGGGGUACUCGAGUGGCGAACGGGUGCGUAACACGUGAGUAACCUACCCUUGACUUUGGGAUAACUUCAGGAAACUGGGGCUAAUACCGGAUAGGAGCUCCUGCUGCAUGGUGGGGGUUGGAAAGUUUCGGCGGUUGGGGAUGGACUCGCGGCUUAUCAGCUUGUUGGUGGGGUAGUGGCUCACCAAGGCUUUGACGGGUAGCCGGCCUGAGAGGGUGACCGGCCACAUUGGGACUGAGAUACGGCCCAGACUCCUACGGGAGGCAGCAGUGGGGAAUAUUGCACAAUGGGCGGAAGCCUGAUGCAGCAACGCCGCGUGCGGGAUGACGGCCUUCGGGUUGUAAACCGCUUUCGCCUGUGACGAAGCGUGAGUGACGGUAAUGGGUAAAGAAGCACCGGCUAACUACGUG
This 464-nucleotide ribosomal RNA is filed under the name uncultured bacterium. RNAcentral's name for it is "partial 16S ribosomal RNA". It matches the Rfam family "Bacterial small subunit ribosomal RNA", at positions 29 to 507 of the family's 1533-position model. The record is from RNAcentral.